This 484-nucleotide ribosomal RNA is filed under the name uncultured bacterium. Its description in RNAcentral is "partial 16S ribosomal RNA". It matches the Rfam family "Bacterial small subunit ribosomal RNA", at positions 29 to 507 of the family's 1533-position model. The record is from RNAcentral.
AUUGAACGCUGGCGGCAUGCUUUACACAUGCAAGUCGAACGGCAGCGCGGGCUUCGGCCUGGCGGCGAGUGGCGAACGGGUGAGUAAUACAUCGGAACGUGCCCAGUAGUGGGGGAUAGCUCGGCGAAAGCCGGAUUAAUACCGCAUACGACCUGAGGGUGAAAGCGGGGGAUCUUCGGACCUCGCGCUAUUGGAGCGGCCGAUGGCAGAUUAGCUAGUUGGUGGGGUAAAGGCCUACCAAGGCGACGAUCUGUAGCUGGUCUGAGAGGACGACCAGCCACACUGUGACUGAGACACGGCCCAGCCUCCUACGGGAGGCAGCAGUGGGGAAUUUUGGACAAUGGGCGAAAGCCUGAUCCAGCAAUGCCGCGUGUGUGAUGAAGGCCUUCGGGUUGUAAAGCACUUUUGGCGGGAACGAAAAGGACUGUGCCAAUACCACGGUUCGAUGACGGUACCCGCAGAAUAAGCACCGGCUAACUACGUG